This 410-nucleotide non-coding RNA is filed under the name unclassified sequences. The record is from Rfam.
GCACGUCCCGGAUCUUUCCCAAUCCGGCAGCUAACUGUAAGGUGAGGCAUUUAGGCGUUAUCGCCGAGCUGGGUAUUGGGUAUAGCAUUGGCAUAUACAUUUACCGGCGUCCUCUAUGCGGAUAGUUUUUACCGCUAUCGUGUAUUUUAUUCCGAGCGCACAAGGGCGCAAUUAUGGCAUUAUUCUUACACGUCCUUUUUCCAUACAACUCUCGCACUCCCAAAAUUUAGCGUGCUUUGUGUAUGCGGACUAAAAACACGUUUUUAGACCGUUCCAACUUGCUACAUUGGUUUGUAGUCUUGCUCGGUGUGGUUAUUUAACACCCUAUUUAAUCGCUCCAAAGCGAACAAGCGAAUUUUUGAUUUUCCAAGCCUCAAAAAUAGGUUUCCCACAAAAAGGGCUUUUUGUUU